UAUAUGUGUUGCAUAGGAUGC
Caenorhabditis elegans is the source of this 21-nucleotide non-coding RNA. Lineage: Eukaryota; Metazoa; Nematoda; Chromadorea; Rhabditida; Rhabditidae. The record is from Ensembl.